GACGAACGCUGGCGGCGUGCCUAAUACAUGCAAGUUGAGCGAUGAAGAUUGGUGCUUGCACCAAUUUGAAGAGCAGCGAACGGGUGAGUAACGCGUGGGGAAUCUGCCUUUGAGCGGGGGACAACAUUUGGAAACGAAUGCUAAUACCGCAUAACAACUUUAAACAUAAGUUUUAAGUUUGAAAGAUGCAAUUGCAUCACUCAAAGAUGAUCCCGCGUUGUAUUAGCUAGUUGGUGAGGUAAAGGCUCACCAGGGCGAUGAUACAUAGCCGACCUGAGAGGGUGAUCGGCCACAUUGGGACUGAGACACGGCCCAAACUCCUACGGGAGGCAGCAGGAGGGAAUCUUCGGCAAUGGACGAAAGUCUGACCGAGCAACGCCGCGUGAGUGAAGAAGGUUUUCGGAUCGUAAAACUCUGUUGGUAGAGAAGAACGUUGGUGAGAGUGGAAAGCUCAUCAAGUGACGGUAACUACCCAGAAAGGGACGGCUAACUACGUG
Molecule: ribosomal RNA, 497 nt
Filed under: uncultured bacterium
Lineage: Bacteria
Description: partial 16S ribosomal RNA
Rfam family: Bacterial small subunit ribosomal RNA
Source: RNAcentral